Molecule: non-coding RNA, 2515 nt
Organism: Callithrix jacchus (white-tufted-ear marmoset)
Lineage: Eukaryota; Metazoa; Chordata; Mammalia; Primates; Cebidae
Source: RefSeq, a predicted model, not a curated record
UAGGUGGGGGGGGCGCGUCCUCAGCUGUAUGGUAAUGAGUUUCUGGUCCCGCCUCCAGCGCGUCCCCUCACCUGGGUCCCGCUUCAGUUCCUGCACCCACUGCCUCCCCCCACCUCAACAGCACCAAGCCCCCGGCCGCGCCCUGUCGCUCCGCUGGGGUAAGGAGGAACUCUCUUGAUGCCAGAGUUGGCUCAGGCCACUGGAGAAUCGAGCCUCUGAUCUCUGAUCCCAGCUGCCACCCAAGACUUGAAGCAAGCCUGAGGUAGGGAUGGGGCCACACCUCGCUCUCUCCCGCUGGGGCAACCUGGGAGUGGGGCAUAUUCAGAUUGGCCCCGCUCCCCUGCAGAUUCCCGGGAAAGAAGGGAGAAGAAACGGAGGUUCCAAGGGCUUGAUUAGCCUGACGGAUGGUAAUGGCAGAGCUGAGACUUGCACUUGCCCUUUCCAGAAUACGCCCUUGUUCCUCAGUUCAACUCAUUUUGGCUGGAGAUGGAAAACACGUAUAAUGAAGGACCCAGGAUGGUGCCCAGCUCACCAGUGUGGGAACACUGUCAACCAAGGCUGAAUCUCAUACACAGGGACAGGAUCCAGGAUGGAGCCUCCUGUCAGCUACCAAUUUCUCUUCUGCGAUUCAGCAGCUGUAAAGUCAGGAGGUGGGAUCAGCAGCACUGUAGCUUUCAAACUGGGUUACUGGGCAUCCUGGCAUCUUAUAAAUAUUGCGAUAACGGGCCAGGCACAGUGGCUCACGCCUGUAAUCCCAACAGUCUGGGAGGCUGAGGUGGGAAGACUGCUUGAAGCCAGGAGUUCAAGACCCACCUGGGCAACCUAGCAAGACCCCCCAUCACUACAAAAAAUAAAAAUAAAAAAUUAGCCAGGCAUGGUAACUGUAGUCCCUGCUACUCGGGAGCCUGGGGUGGGAGGAUCGCUUGAGCCCAGGAAUUCAAGGCUGCAGUGAGCUAUGAUCACACCACUGCACUUCAGCCUAGGCAACAGAGCAAGGCCUUAUUUCUAUUUAAAGAGAGAGAGAGAUUGAGAUAGGAGAGAAGAGGCUGGGUGAACAGGGGUGUGGGUCACUCCAGCCCAGAUUCUGUUGGAGAAUCUCAGCAUAUCAAUUUCAAGUACUGGACAUUCAUGAAAGUUUUUAUUUGAACAAGGCUUCCACAGUACUCUACAGUCUACCUGAAGUCUCUGCAGCUCUGGCCUCCUGGGAGUUGUGAACAGUUUAGGUCCUAGCCUGAGAAGAGAAACCAGAGGAUCUGGUGAUGGAAAUGGGGUUCACCUUCCAGCCCUGUGGAGAUGCCAGGAGGGAGCAGGUGGAGGUCAGGGCUGGGAGAUCAUGGCACAGAGGGAAGGUGAGCUGUAGGCACCUGCCUCUGCACCUGGCAAACACAGACCUUUGGCCAUAGCAGCCUGGUAACCAGGAGCAGCAGCCAGCUUCCUGGAGGCCAGACCAGUGCCCCUUUUCCUUUUCUCUGUCCAAGCCUAUUCUCUGUGGACACGGGUUGCUGGCCACCAAACUAGGGCCGUGCAACCUCUCCUGACCUCACGGUGUGGUUUCUGACUGCUCAGUAAGGGCUAGUUCAAGGUGAAUGCUGAGCCAUGGCAAAGCUGCUCAGAGGAAUUACCAGGCAUUCGGAGAGUGGGGCUGAUCCCCUUGAAAUGACAACCCUAUUUUGCACCCCUUUUAUUGGCCAUCCUAGACCAAAGUUUGCCCCUCUGCCUCAGAUUUCCUUGUGGGAAUCCAGGUGUGAGAAUGGUGGCCCUCUCCUGGUGGCUUCAAGCAUGCAUGGCUCCCUGAAUAUCAUCUCCCCGCUCCAGGUGGAGGAGAAAGCUGAGGGCUCCAGCUGCCCAAGCCCCAGAACUUUCUAGCAUCCUCCUAUCCCACUGCCCACUCCAGGCCUGCCUCUAACCACCAUUCACCCUCGACCUGCCGCUGGGCCCAGCCUCACCCCACGUAAGCAAAGCUGCCAGCAGGGUCCUUUGUGGUGCUGCUCCCGUGUGGCACUGCCUAGGGGCCCCAUCAUGGGGCAACAGAUGGACCUAUGGUCUCUCCAGAACAAUGGUGGGGGAGGGGCCCUGGCAUCGCCCGCCCCAAACAGGAAGCGCUGCAUGAGCUUCAAAGGACUGGCAGGGCCAAGGGGCUGAGUGGGGGAGCCAGUGCCAGGGCUGGCGGCUGCCUGAAGAGAUGCCUGCCAGCCUCGGGAUGCCCAGCCUGGUGGCGGAGGUGGAGCUUUCGGUGGCCAGGGUAGCUGGCUCUCGAGCAGAAGAUGUCUGGCACCCUGAGGACAGCAGCCUGUAACCUGGGAGCAGGUUAAGGAAAGGGGGCAUGGACCUUACUGUUUCCCGCUUCAGCUGCCACCCGCCAGCGGGGCUGCAGGUUCUUUCCCAGGCUGUGGUUGGCCUGGCCCUCCGGCAAGUAAGCAUGAGGGGCAGGGCUGGCACCAAGCCCGCCGCCCACUCCCUGCCUCCUGCUCCCAGCUGCUGCGCUCAGAGCCUUUUCCUCUCCACUUCCUGUUCA